GAUGAACGCUGGCGGCGUGCCUAAUACAUGCAAGUCGAGCGAACGGACGAGGAGCUUGCUUCUCUGAUGUUAGCGGCGGACGGGUGAGUAACACGUGGAUAACCUACCUAUAAGACUGGGAUAACUUCGGGAAACCGGAGCUAAUACCGGAUAAUAUUUUGAACCGCAUGGUUCAAACGUGAAAGACGGUCUUGCUGUCACUUAUAGAUUGAUCCGCGCUGCAUUAGCUAGUUGGUAAGGUAACGGCAUACCAAGGCAACGAUGCAUAGCCGACCUGAGAGGGUGAUCGGCCACACUAGAACUGAGACACGGUCCAGACUCCUACGGGAGGCAGCAGUAGGGAAUCUUCCGCAAUGGGCGAAAGCCUGACGGAGCAACGCCGCGUGAGUGAUGAAGGUCUUCGGAUCGGAAAACUCUGUUAUUAGGGAAGAACAUAUGUGUAAGUAACUGUGCACAUCUUGACGGUACCUAAUCAGAAAGCCACGGCUAACUACGUG
RNAcentral lists this ribosomal RNA (497 nucleotides) under uncultured bacterium. Its description in RNAcentral is "partial 16S ribosomal RNA". It matches the Rfam family "Bacterial small subunit ribosomal RNA", at positions 28 to 507 of the family's 1533-position model. The record is from RNAcentral.